UACGUAGGGUGCAAGCGUUGUCCGGAAUUAUUGGGCGUAAAGAGCUCGUAGGCGGUCUGUCGCGUCGGCUGUGAAAACCCGGAGCUCAACUCCGGGCCUGCAGUCGAUACGGGCAGACUGGAGUUCGGCAGGGGAGAAUGGAAUUCCCGGUGUAGCGGUGAAAUGCGCAGAUAUCGGGAGGAACACCGGUGGCGAAGGCGGUUCUCUGGGCCUUACCUGACGCUGAGGAGCGAAAGCGUGGGGAGCGAACAGG
Molecule: ribosomal RNA, 253 nt
Filed under: uncultured bacterium
Lineage: Bacteria
Description: partial 16S ribosomal RNA
Rfam family: Bacterial small subunit ribosomal RNA
Source: RNAcentral